AACCAGUUAAGAAGAAUAAAGAAUCUAGUGAUAGCUCAGAUUCUGACUCAGAUUCAGAUUCUGAAGAAGAUACCAGUGCUAAAACAGUUUCUGUAAAGAAAGAAGAAUCUAGUGGUAGCUCAGAUAAUGACUCGGAUUCCGAUUCUGAUGAACCAGCAAAAUCUACUAUUCCUGCUAAGAGGCUUCUGACAACAGAGAAAAAGAGUGAACAUUCCAAGGAUGAUUCUGAUGAUAGUUCUGAUGAGAGUGAUGAAGAGCCUGCACUAAAGAAGCCUAAGGAAUUUUUGGUGUUUGCUUUUUCGUCUGAAGAUUUUGGUCUCUAAGGUUGCCAAGAAAGAAAGCAGUGGUGAUGAUGACAAUUCUGAAGAGAGCUCCAGCAGUGAUGAUGAAAAUGAUCAAUCGGUGUCAAUGUGAAAGUCCAAGCAGAACGAAGAACGAAGAUCUGAAUCACCCUCACCCCUCUAGAGAAAUCAGUUUACUCAUUCAAGUUCUGGAAAUUCCUUAUAGCUUUCUGAGUUUAC
Long non-coding RNA from Triticum dicoccoides, 521 nucleotides. RefSeq lists it as uncharacterized. The transcript is spliced from 5 exons. The record is from RefSeq and is a predicted model, not a curated record. NCBI's taxonomy places the organism in Eukaryota, Viridiplantae, Streptophyta, Magnoliopsida, Poales, Poaceae.